AGUACUUACUACAUUAUCAAUUCUACAUAAAAUUUAAGAUGGAUUGAUUGUAAUAAAAUGUUACAUACAGUAUAGGUUAUGUACAAAUGGGAAGGGGGUAAGGAAGGUUCUAGAAGAUUCGCGUGCGACCCCGUUUCCGGUGUAUAUUAAAAGGUUGCCUAUGUUCUUAGUUGGAAGAAAUAAUGCUUUGCCUAGGUAGGGUCAAUACGAGACAAGGGAAAGUUAACGAGGCACAACAGGUAAAUCUAUGGGUUAGCAAAAAAUUGUGCAAACGUGUCAGUUUCGAAAAUACAUAUGUAUAUUCUACACCACGUGCCAGAGGCCUACGUAAGCACGAAGAUAAUACGAGGCAGCUGCUUCGUGCAGGUGAAGAAAGCAGAUGCUUCCUUACAAUAAAACAUGGAGUUAGAAUUUCA
Osmia bicornis bicornis is the source of this 416-nucleotide long non-coding RNA. RefSeq lists it as uncharacterized. Lineage: Eukaryota; Metazoa; Arthropoda; Insecta; Hymenoptera; Megachilidae. The transcript is spliced from 2 exons. The record is from RefSeq and is a predicted model, not a curated record.